CAAAGGCUUGGUCCUAACUUUACUAUCAGCUCUAGCCCAAUUUAUACAUGCAAGCAUCCGCAUCCCUGUGAGAAUGCCCUUAACCCCUCUGCCCGAGGACAAGGAGCAGGCAUCAGGCACGCACACCCAGCCCAAGACGCCUUGCUAGGCCACGCCCCCAAGGGAAUUCAGCAGUAACAAACAUUAAGCUAUGAGUGCAAGCUCGACUUAGUUAGGGCUCCUUUUUUAAGGGUCGGUAAAAUUCGUGCCAGCCACCGCGGUUAUACGGAAGACCCUAGUUGAUGGCCACGGCGUAAAGGGUGGUUAAGAGCAUAUUAAAUAAAGCUGAAGGCCCUCUAAGUUGUUAUACACACCCCGAGAGCACGAAACCCUUACACGAAAGUAGCUUUAAAUUAGCCCUGAAUCCACGAAAGCUAAGAAACAAACUGGGAUUAGAUACCCCACUAUGCUUAGCCUUAAACCUAGAUGUGUCCUUACACACACAUCCGCCCGGGCACUACGAGCACAGCUUAAAACCCAAAGGACUUGGCGGUGUCUCAGACCCACCUAGAGGAGCCUGUUCUAGAACCGACAAUCCCCGUUAAACCUCACCCCUUCUUGUUUUCCCCGCCUAUAUACCACCGUCGCCAGCUUACCCUGUGAAGGUAAAAUAGUAAGCAAAAUGGGCUCACCCCAGAACGUCAGGUCGAGGUGUAGCGUAUGAAGUGGGAAGAAAUGGGCUACAUUUUCUACAUAUAGAAUAUUACGGACAGCACUUUGAAAUAAGAGCUUAAAGGUGGAUUCAGUAGUAAAAAGAAAAUAGAGAAUCCUUUUGAAUUAGGCUCUGAGACGCGCACACACCGCCCGUCACUCUCCCCCCCCAACCCUAUCAUCCAAAUUACUAAUAACUCAGCACUAAACGCGGGGAGGCAAGUCGUAACAUGGUAAGUGUACCGGAAGGUGCACUUGGAGUAAC
This 955-nucleotide non-coding RNA is filed under the name Amphilius sp. NM-2010. Its description in RNAcentral is "12S rRNA". It matches the Rfam family "Bacterial small subunit ribosomal RNA". Lineage: Eukaryota; Metazoa; Chordata; Actinopteri; Siluriformes; Amphiliidae. The record is from RNAcentral.